This 276-nucleotide small RNA is filed under the name Vigna angularis var. angularis. RNAcentral describes it as "Non-protein coding transcript". Lineage: Eukaryota; Viridiplantae; Streptophyta; Magnoliopsida; Fabales; Fabaceae. The record is from RNAcentral.
CGGAGGUCAGAGCACGGAGGUUUUGAAGCAGAGAGACUUUGGAGUUCUGUUUUGAGUCGGGGGAACGUUCGCAAAGAGUUUUUGGAAGAUUAGCUAAGGAGAAAACCAUGGCGAGGAUGUUCGUGUGGAGACAGCUUUGGAAGGAGGUAGCGAUGCUGCUGUUUAGUCUUCAUAGGACUUUCUUAAUAAUUCCAUGUAUUUCGGAAUACCUUUCCUUUCACGUUUCCAACUUAAACUAUUAGUGUGUUUAAGUUUUAAAUUCUGACUCUAUUUGGG